UACGGGGGGAGCAAGCGUUGUUCGGAUUUACUGGGCGUAAAGGGCGCGUAGGCGGCGUGACAAGUCACUUGUGAAAUCUCCGGGCUUAACCCGGAGCGGCCAAGUGAUACUGUCAUGCUAGAGUGCAGAAGGGGCAAUCGGAAUUCUUGGUGUAGCGGUGAAAUGCGUAGAUAUCAAGAGGAACACCUGAGGUGAAGACGGGUUGCUGGGCUGACACUGACGCUGAUGCGCGAAAGCCAGGGGAGCAAACGGG
RNAcentral lists this ribosomal RNA (253 nucleotides) under uncultured bacterium. RNAcentral describes it as "partial 16S ribosomal RNA". It matches the Rfam family "Bacterial small subunit ribosomal RNA", at positions 524 to 776 of the family's 1533-position model. The record is from RNAcentral.